Molecule: ribosomal RNA, 305 nt
Filed under: uncultured bacterium
Lineage: Bacteria
Description: bacterial SSU rRNA
Rfam family: Bacterial small subunit ribosomal RNA
Source: RNAcentral
GUCCUACGGGGGGCAGCAGUGGGGGAUAUUGCACAAUGGGGGGAACCCUGAUGCAGCGACGCCGCGUGAAGGAAGAAGUAUCUCGGUAUGUAAACUUCUAUCAGCAGGGAAGAAAAUGACGGUACCUGACUAAGAAGCCCCGGCUAACUACGUGCCAGCGGCCGCGGUAAUACGUAGGGGGCAAGCGUUAUCCGGAUUUACUGGGUGUAAAGGGAGCGUAGGUGGCAGGGCAAGUCAGAUGUGAAAACCCGGGGCUCAACUCCGGGAGUGCAUUUGAAACUGUCCAGCUAGAGUGCAGGAGAGGG